AACGAACGCUGGCGGCAUGCCUAACACAUGCAAGUCGAACGAGACCUUCGGGUCUUUGUGCCCACGGGUGCGGAACGCGACGGAACCUUCCCUUGGGUUCGGAAUAACUCCCCGAAAGGGGUACCAAUACCGGACAAUUUCUACUGACCAAUGAUGUAUUGCCUUUGAAUGGGCGAGCGUGAGAUUAGCUAUUUGGUAGCGUAAAAGUCUACCCAGGCUACGUUCCAUAGCUGGUCUGAGAGGAUGAUCAGCCACACUGGGGGUGAGACACGGCCGAGACUUCUACGAGAGGCAGCAGUGGGGAAUAUUGGACGCUGGGCGAAAGAAUGAGGGAGCAAGGUCGCGUAAGUGAGGAAGGACAUAAGGUUGUAAAGCUCUUUUGACAGGGCAGCUAAUGACAGUACCGGGCCAGAAAGCGACGGCUAACUACGUG
This 433-nucleotide ribosomal RNA is filed under the name uncultured bacterium. RNAcentral describes it as "partial 16S ribosomal RNA". It matches the Rfam family "Bacterial small subunit ribosomal RNA", at positions 29 to 507 of the family's 1533-position model. The record is from RNAcentral.